UGUGAAAUUGCAGUUUAAGAAGAUGGAGAUUUUCUUUGUUUAGCUGACAGCCUGAGAGGAAGAAGCAACAUAAAGCUGCUUGACUUGUAGCCUGAGCACAUCUGUCUGGCUUCUUCUCAUGGUGUGCUAGACUUAUUGGUAUAUUCAGGUUUUGAGAUAAGAGAAGGCCUGGAUGACUACAUGUGCUUUAACACCCUUGUUAUGUCUCCCAAGAUAUUAGAUAAUUAAAGUAUCUUGCCAAGCUCUUCAGGUUGGAACUGAAACAGAGUUUUCUCUUAGCUCCUCUGAGCCAAUUUCUAGCAUCCUAUCAGAGAAAAACAACAGCAUCACAUGUGGGGUCAGGAAGAAGUUGCUAGCACUGAAAAGGAGUGCAGACCUUCACUGGACCCCCAGAAGCUGGACUAGGAUUUGGCUUGAGCCAGGACCAGGAAACCCCACUGAGUUGGACAUCUGGAAAUCAAUUUCACCCUUCAUGGCUAUGCAAACCACCUACAGUGCCCUUUGACAGCAGAUGAGUUUUAAGAGGAUCCCAAAGAGGAUUUGCACUGGCAAGGCAAAAUGACUUGUUUCAACCUUUUAGAGAUAACCUGUGGAGUAUUUGAGAAAAAUGGCUUAAGAAAUUUAGUCAGGAUAAAAUGUUCCACCUUGCUACGUUACAAGAGGACAAACCAUACACCUUACUCUUUCCUUUACAACUUGACUUUUCCAUCUCAGAUACAGACAGAUUCUUAUUUGCAACAAUGUAUUAAUAAC
This 753-nucleotide long non-coding RNA is filed under the name Canis lupus familiaris (dog). RNAcentral describes it as "lncRNA (ENSCAFG00000034626.3)". Lineage: Eukaryota; Metazoa; Chordata; Mammalia; Carnivora; Canidae. The record is from RNAcentral.